AGAGUUUGAUCAUGGCUCAGGAUGAACGCUGGCGGCGUGCCUAAUACAUGCAAGUCGAGCGGUAAGGUUCUGCACUUAGUAUUUAACUAGAGUAAGUCCAUGAAAAUGGAAACUGCCUAAACCUGUGAACUCCAAGGCUGGAGGACACCUGUUGAAUCCUGAGUGUAGAAUACACGAGCGGCGGACGGCUGAGUAACACGUAGGAACGUACCCCAAACUGAGGGAUAAGCACCAGAAAUGGUGUCUAAUACCGCAUGUGCUCUUCGGAGUAAAGCUACGGCGGUUUGGGAACGGCCUGCGUAAGAUUAGCUAGUUGGUGAGGUAAUAGCUCACCAAGGCGACGAUCUUUAGCUGGUCUGAGAGGAUGACCAGCCAGACUGGGACUGAGAACGGCCCAGACUCCUACGGGAGGCAGCAGUAGGGAAUCUUCCACAAUGGACGCAAGUCUGAUGGAGCAACGCCGCGUGCAGGAUGAAUGUCUUCGGAUUGUAAACUGCUUUUCUAUGUGACGAAUAUGACGGUAGCAUAGGAAUAAGGACCUGCUAACUACGUGCCAGCAGCCGCGGUCAUACGUAGGGUCCAAGCGUUAUCCGGAAUUACUGGGCGUAAAGAGUUGCGUAGGUGGCAUGAUAAGUCAGUAGUGAAAUGACGAGGCUCAACCUCGUGUCCAUUACUGAAACUGUCAAGCUAGAGAAUGAGAGAGGUCACUGGAAUUCCCUGUGUAGGAGUGAAAUCCGUAGAUAUAGGGAGGAACACCGAUGGCGUAGGCAGGUGACUGGCUCAUUUCUGACACUAAGGCACGAAAGCGUGGGUAGCAAACGGGAUUAGAUACCCUAGUAGUCC
This 843-nucleotide ribosomal RNA is filed under the name uncultured bacterium. RNAcentral's name for it is "bacterial SSU rRNA". It matches the Rfam family "Bacterial small subunit ribosomal RNA", at positions 8 to 796 of the family's 1533-position model. The record is from RNAcentral.